GGUGUUGUGGCUCAGUGGUGGAGUGCUUGCCUAAAAUGCAUGAGGCACUGGGUUCGAUCCCAGGCACCA
Molecule: transfer RNA, 69 nt
Filed under: Marmota marmota marmota (Alpine marmot)
Lineage: Eukaryota; Metazoa; Chordata; Mammalia; Rodentia; Sciuridae
Also listed under: 1 other name
Rfam family: tRNA
About the family: Transfer RNA (tRNA) molecules are approximately 80 nucleotides in length. Their secondary structure includes four short double-helical elements and three loops (D, anti-codon, and T loops).
Source: Rfam by way of RNAcentral